Molecule: ribosomal RNA, 395 nt
Filed under: uncultured bacterium
Lineage: Bacteria
Description: bacterial SSU rRNA
Rfam family: Bacterial small subunit ribosomal RNA
Source: RNAcentral
GACGAACGCUGGCGGUGUGCUUAACACAUGCAAGUGGAGCGACGAACCAGAGCUUGCUCUGGGGCAGAGCCGCGAACGGGUGAGUAACACGUGGGUAACGUACCCCGAUUACCGGGACAACCCGAGGAAACUCGGGCUAAUGCCGGAUGUGCUCCCUCCCCAUGAGGGGAGUGAGUAAAGGAAGCUUCGGCCUCCGAAUCGGGAGCGGCCCGCGGCCUAUUAGUUUGUUGGUGGGGUAACGGCCUACCAAGACUGCGAUAGGUAGCUGGUCUGAGAGGACGAUCAGCCACACUGGGACUGAGACACGGCCCAGACUCCUACGGAGGCAGCAGUGGGGAAUCUUGCGCAAUGCGCGAAAGCGUGACGCAGCAACACCGCGUGGGGGAAGACGGCCU